UUACGGGAGGCAGCAGUGGGGAAUAUUGGACAAUGGGCGCAAGCCUGAUCCAGCAAUACCGCGUGUGUGAAGAAGGCCUGAGGGUUGUAAAGCACUUUUAAUAGGGAGGAAAACCUGUCGGCCAAUACCCGACAGCUUGACAUUACCUAUAGAAAAAGCACCGGCUAACUCCGUGCCAGCAGCCGCGGUAAUACGGAGGGUGCAAGCGUUAAUCGGAAUUACUGGGCGUAAAGCGUGCGUAGGCGGUUUGCUAAGUCAGAUGUGAAAGCCCCGGGCUUAACCUGGGAACUGCAUUUGAUACUGGCAAACUAGAGUUUAAUAGAGGGGAGUGGAAUUUCAGGUGUAGCGGUGAAAUGCGUAGAGAUCUGAAGGAACACCAGUGGCGAAGGCGACUCCCUGGAUUAAAACUGACGCUGAGGUACGAAAGCGUGGGUAGCAAACAGGAUUAGAUACCCCGGU
Molecule: ribosomal RNA, 459 nt
Filed under: uncultured bacterium
Lineage: Bacteria
Description: bacterial SSU rRNA
Rfam family: Bacterial small subunit ribosomal RNA
Source: RNAcentral